GGGCGUGUGGUCUAGUGGUAUGAUUCUCGCUUUGGGGUUGCGAGAGGCCCUGGGUUCAAUUCCCAGCUCGCCCC
Molecule: transfer RNA, 74 nt
Filed under: Henningerozyma blattae CBS 6284
Lineage: Eukaryota; Fungi; Ascomycota; Saccharomycetes; Saccharomycetales; Saccharomycetaceae
Description: Tetrapisispora blattae CBS 6284 tRNA-Pro
Rfam family: tRNA
About the family: Transfer RNA (tRNA) molecules are approximately 80 nucleotides in length. Their secondary structure includes four short double-helical elements and three loops (D, anti-codon, and T loops).
Source: RNAcentral